RNAcentral lists this unclassified non-coding RNA (221 nucleotides) under fungal sp. Its description in RNAcentral is "partial internal transcribed spacer region". The stretch from base 1 to 46 matches the Rfam family "Eukaryotic small subunit ribosomal RNA", at positions 1786 to 1831 of the family's 1831-position model. The record is from RNAcentral. Lineage: Eukaryota; Fungi.
AAGUCGUAACAAGGUUUCCGUAGGUGAACCUGCGGAAGGAUCAUUACCAAUAAUUUAUAAUUUAACCCAUGUGCACUGUGAAUGUAUUGUCUUGGUUUUUGGGGUGGGCUUUAGGUUCACCCCAACCAUUUUGUUAAACUACUGUUUAUAAUUGUCAUGGCAUCGUAACUUGUUUUAAUAAAUAUUAUGACAACUUUUAACGGUGGAUCUCUUGGCUCGUG